RNAcentral lists this ribosomal RNA (433 nucleotides) under uncultured bacterium. RNAcentral's name for it is "partial 16S ribosomal RNA". It matches the Rfam family "Bacterial small subunit ribosomal RNA", at positions 29 to 507 of the family's 1533-position model. The record is from RNAcentral.
AGCGAACGCUGGCGGCAGGCCUAACACAUGCAAGUCGAACGAACUCUUCGGAGUUAGUGGCGGACGGGUGAGUAACACGUGGGAACGUGCCUUUUGGUUCGGAAUAACUCAGGGAAACUUGUGCUAAUACCGAAUGUGCCCUUCGGGGGAAAGAUUUAUCGCCAUUAGAGCGGCCCGCGUCUGAUUAGCUAGUUGGUGAGGUAACCGCUCACCAAGGCGACGAUCAGUAGCUGGUCUGAGAGGAUGACCAGCCACACUGGGACUGAGACACGGCCCAGACUCCUACGGGAGGCAGCAGUGGGGAAUCUUGCGCAAUGGGCGAAAGCCUGACGCAGCCAUGCCGCGUGAAUGAUGAAGGUCUUAGGAUUGUAAAAUUCUUUCACCGGGGACGAUAAUGACGGUACCCGGAGAAGAAGCCCCGGCUAACUUCGUG